Molecule: transfer RNA, 77 nt
Filed under: Escherichia coli
Lineage: Bacteria; Pseudomonadati; Pseudomonadota; Gammaproteobacteria; Enterobacterales; Enterobacteriaceae
Also listed under: 1 other name
Description: tRNA-Val
Rfam family: tRNA
About the family: Transfer RNA (tRNA) molecules are approximately 80 nucleotides in length. Their secondary structure includes four short double-helical elements and three loops (D, anti-codon, and T loops). Further hydrogen bonds mediate the characteristic L-shaped molecular structure. tRNAs have two regions of fundamental functional importance: the anti-codon, which is responsible for specific mRNA codon recognition, and the 3' end, to which the tRNAs corresponding amino acid is attached (by aminoacyl-tRNA synthetases). tRNAs cope with the degeneracy of the genetic code in two manners: having more than one tRNA (with a specific anti-codon) for a particular amino acid; and 'wobble' base-pairing, i.e. permitting non-standard base-pairing at the 3rd anti-codon position.
Source: RNAcentral
GCGUCCGUAGCUCAGUUGGUUAGAGCACCACCUUGACAUGGUGGGGGUCGGUGGUUUGAGUCCACUCGGACGCACCA